ACGUAGGGCGCAAGCGUUGUCCGGAAUUAUUGGGCGUAAAGAGCUUGUAGGUGGCUUGUCGCGUCUGCCGUGGAAACCCGAGGCUCAACCUCGGGCGUGCGGUGGGUACGGGCAGGCUAGAGUGUGGUAGGGGAGACUGGAACUCCUGGUGUAGCGGUGAAAUGCGCAGAUAUCAGGAAGAACACCGAUGGCGAAGGCAGGUCUCUGGGCCAUUACUGACACUGAGAAGCGAAAGCAUGGGGAGCGAACAG
RNAcentral lists this ribosomal RNA (251 nucleotides) under uncultured prokaryote. RNAcentral's name for it is "partial 16S rRNA". It matches the Rfam family "Bacterial small subunit ribosomal RNA", at positions 525 to 775 of the family's 1533-position model. The record is from RNAcentral.